RNAcentral lists this long non-coding RNA (1171 nucleotides) under Anser brachyrhynchus (Pink-footed goose). Its description in RNAcentral is "lncRNA (ENSABRG00000008690.1)". The record is from RNAcentral. Lineage: Eukaryota; Metazoa; Chordata; Aves; Anseriformes; Anatidae.
AGCAGUCCCUCCAGGGCCUUCUGAGCUGAGCACCCCCGCUGCAAUCCCUCCCAGCUCUGCCGGGCCUGAGGAGGAGCUUGGUCUGUAUCAGUGUCAUUAACAGAGCAUCUUACCUGCAGAUUGUCUUGCCUUACCUUCUCAUGAACCACACCAGCUGACUGGAUGUGGAGGAGAUCCAACCGUGCCUACCACCAAAAUCCAGGUAGGGCAGGACAUCCUUCAGUUAUGUUUAAGGACUGACUUUGUAUCUUUUAUCUCAUGCUCAACUUCGAAGCAGAAGCUGCAAAGUGCAGACAGUAGAUGACUACAUGAUUUAUCCAGGUUUCCAUCAGGAGGCUACAUGUGUCUUCUGCCUGUAAUAAUGGAGGGAUAACUGCAAAGCUGGAUUAUUUCUUUACUUAGAAUGUUUUUCUUAUGCAAAUUCAAUAAGCAGAUUACUGAGAGGAUACCUUUGAUGUUUUCCCAUCAAGCAUUCAAUUAGUUGAACUUGUACAGCUGCCUCACCCUUCUCCUGUGUGCAAACAGAUAAAAAAUACUAGUACUACAGAGAACAGUCCUAUGGAAAUUUUAUGCAGGACUUCAUUCUCCCACCACCUUUUUUUUUUCCCAGAACGUUGAAGCUUGGUCCGUGUCAGGCUUCCAGCUCUUGCAGAGAGAAGCAGGUUUGGUGACUGCUGGCUCUGGGGCCUAAGAUGAAGGGGAGAUACCCGGUUACUGCUCACCUUGGUCUGCUGGUAGAGGGGAAAAGUUUGGAUUCAGUGCCACUAUUUGAGGGAUUAGCAGAAAGGAAAAUGAAGAUCUGCCAAUGGCCAGGCUCUGGAAAGUGCAAGUGACUUUCACUGAUUUUAGUGGAAAUUUAAAACAGCAAAUCUUUUAACUUCUUAUGACCUUUUGUUCUUAAGAAACAGCUUGAGUUUUGUACUCCAUGCAAACACAAGCACAGGAAAUCAAUACUUAAAUCAAGUAUUCUACAAUGAAUAGUAACACCCAUCUCACCCAUAAUGGAGUGCUUCAUGAAUUAUCAAAGACUUGUCUGUAAUACAUUGUAUUCACUGUAGCAAGAAGCAGAUCAGAAUCAAGCUCUUGGGCAACUGUACGACCAUCUUCAUCUGUACACAUUCUCAUUUUGAAACACAUGAUUUAAUAAGUUAUUUCAGUUUUACGUGAAAAU